Molecule: ribosomal RNA, 406 nt
Filed under: uncultured Gammaproteobacteria bacterium
Lineage: Bacteria; Pseudomonadati; Pseudomonadota; Gammaproteobacteria
Description: bacterial SSU rRNA
Rfam family: Bacterial small subunit ribosomal RNA
Source: RNAcentral
AGGGAAUAUUGCACAAUGGGCGCAAGCCUGAUGCAGCAACGCCGCGUGAGGGACGACGGCCUUCGGGUUGUAAACCUCUUUUAGUAGGGAAGAAGCGAAAGUGACGGUACCUGCAGAAAAAGCACCGGCUAACUUCGUGCCAGCAGCCGCGGUAAUACGAAGGGUGCAAGCGUUAAUCGGAAUUACUGGGCGUAAAGCGCGCGUAGGUGGUUCAGUAAGUUAGGAGUGAAAGCCCCGGGCUUAACCUGGGAAUUGCUUCUAAAACUGCUGAGCUAGAGUACGGUAGAGGGUGGUGGAAUUUCCUGUGUAGCGGUGAAAUGCGUAGAUAUAGGAAGGAACAUCAGUGGCGAAGGCGACCACCUGGACUGAUACUGACACUGAGGUGCGAAAGCGUGGGGAGCAAACA